UGACUCCUUGGCGGGCCGGCUGGAAAAGUUUGAAAGUUGGAACCGGCCUGGGCCUAAAAAUGGGAAAUUUUUCCUGCAUUUCUCACGUUCAGCCUACUUAUUUUGCUCCGUUCCCUCCUGUUGCCAAGUCUCCUUUGGUCUUCUUUGUCUUGCUCAAGAGCCUGGUACUGAGGUGGAACUUUGCAAGUGUCUUAACAAGAUCUAAUAAGCUUGGAAACUGAAAGGGGAAAUGAGGAUAUUCCCUUCUGGCUGUAAUCAUGGUGUGAGGGAGGUGGAGACUCUACAAAGGAAGGCUCCUCAGCCUGGAGGUUUGCAGGUUUCUCCCUCAAAAGAUCCUGCUCCAUAGUACUGAGAAAACACAGUGGCCGUUGUGUGGGAGACCACCACAGCUGCCUCAAGGGAAGCCAACACAGUCAUAGUUCCUGAGCUCAUUGGGAUCGGAUGUUUACAGAAGUCUCCCACAGAAGAUGAACUUACCACCAAGACCCUGCAAGACUGAAGCAGUGCUUGGAGUCGGAGAGGAGAGAGUCAGACAAUGUGCACAUUUAUUUCUUUGGAUUAAAGAGGAAGUGGAGAGUUUCUAUUUGGGAUGAUGAUAAAGUUUUGGAAAUGGUAGCCAUGAAUGUUGCACAGUAUUGUUGAAGCUGGAAAUUACCUAUGGAAGCUGAGUCACCUACCUCGCUCCUGGAGCCCGCUGGCUGUUUCCAAGGCCUUCUUCAUUAUUCAAACCACGACUCCAUCACAGGAAUACCCAAAGCAACAUUUGAUAGUUGUGGAAGAUUUUUACCCUCACAAGUCAUGAAUACUUUCUGUUUAUCGCUUACACUGAGGAUUUAUGACUAUCUAAGUGUUGUAUUUCCGAAGGGAAGCAUCCUAUCCUCAGACUCCCGGCUGUCACCGUCCUGACCUGCCACCUGUGUCACAUCCCAUCAAGUGCUGUGGAUGAGCCAGGUACCAGUAAACCAGCCCCCGAGGCUGGAGAAAUGUUGGAUGUAGAUGCUCACAGAAUCAUUCAUCAAAUCUUGGAAGCUUCGGAGAGAAGUGCGUAAAAUGAAAAUUUAGUUCCAGAGAAAUAGAGCCUCAAUUUAAUACCAUCUACCAAAGCACUGCCACGUCUGUCAUCUUGGGAUGAGGUCAGAGAUCCUAAAUCAAGAGAGGAUGAAGGCUCUCCUGGCGGGGGUGGCCCCAGGGUCUGGAGCAUGCCCAGGUGA
This 1211-nucleotide long non-coding RNA is filed under the name Sus scrofa (pig). RNAcentral describes it as "lncRNA (multiple genes)". The record is from RNAcentral. Lineage: Eukaryota; Metazoa; Chordata; Mammalia; Artiodactyla; Suidae.